Molecule: non-coding RNA, 29 nt
Filed under: Mus musculus (house mouse)
Lineage: Eukaryota; Metazoa; Chordata; Mammalia; Rodentia; Muridae
Source: RNAcentral
UGAUCACUCAUCAUUGUAGGCCUUGCAUC